RNAcentral lists this ribosomal RNA (498 nucleotides) under uncultured bacterium. Its description in RNAcentral is "bacterial SSU rRNA". It matches the Rfam family "Bacterial small subunit ribosomal RNA", at positions 340 to 830 of the family's 1533-position model. The record is from RNAcentral.
UACGGGAGGCAGCAGUAGGGAAUCUUCCGCAAUGGGCGAAAGCCUGACGGAGCAACGCCGCGUGAGUGAUGAAGGUCUUCGGAUCGUAAAACUCUGUUGUUAGGGAAGAACAAACGUGUUAGUAACUGCGCACGUCUUGACGGUACCUAAUCAGAAAGCCACGGCUAACUACGUGCCAGCAGCCGCGGUAAUACGUAGGUGGCAAGCGUUAUCCGGAAUUAUUGGGCGUAAAGCGCGCGUAGGCGGUUUCUUAAGUCUGAUGUGAAAGCCCACGGCUCAACCGUGGAGGGUCAUUGGAAACUGGGAAACUUGAGUGCAGAAGAGGAAAGUGGAAUUCCAUGUGUAGCGGUGAAAUGCGCAGAGAUAUGGAGGAACACCAGUGGCGAAGGCGACUUUCUGGUCUGUAACUGACGCUGAUGCGCGAAAGCGUGGGGAUCAAACAGGAUUAGAUACCCUGGUAGUCCACGCCGUAAACGAUGAGUGCUAAGUGUUAGGGGG